UAACAGUAGAAUGUACGGAAUGGCUACAGUGAGGGUGUUAAAACAAAUCUUCCUCGCAUGACUUAUAUUUUUGUACUAAUCAGUUUAUAUGAAAAGUGACUCAUGUUCAAUAUGUUGCUAAGUUGAUAAGAAGAUUGCGAAGUUUUGAACUUUAACUUUUGCUGCUUUAGUCCACCGAGGAGUAUUUUACUUUUAAUCACUUAUAAUCAAAU
This 212-nucleotide unclassified non-coding RNA is filed under the name Hevea brasiliensis (rubber tree). The record is from RNAcentral. Lineage: Eukaryota; Viridiplantae; Streptophyta; Magnoliopsida; Malpighiales; Euphorbiaceae.